GCGAGCCUGAUCCAGCCAUGCCGCGUGUGUGAAGAAGGCCUUCGGGUUGUAAAGCACUUUCAGCGAGGAAGAACGCCUUGGGAUUAAUACUCCCGAGGAAAGACAUCACUCGCAGAAGAAGCACCGGCUAACUCCGUGCCAGCAGCCGCGGUAAUACGGAGGGUGCAAGCGUUAAUCGGAAUUACUGGGCGUAAAGCGCGCGUAGGUGGCUAAGUCAGCCAGGUGUGAAAGCCCCGGGCUCAACCUGGGAACGGCAUCUGGAACUGCUUGGCUAGAGUGCAGGAGAGGAAGGUAGAAUUCCCGGUGUAGCGGUGAAAUGCGUAGAGAUCGGGAGGAAUACCAGUGGCGAAGGCGGCCUUCUGGACUGACACUGACACUGAGGUGCGAAAGCGUGGGUAGCAAACAGGAUUAGAUACCCUGGUAGUCCACGCCGUAAACGAUGUCAACUAGCCGUUGGGUCCCUUGAGGACUUAGUGGCGCAGCUAACGCAAUAAGUUGACCGCCUGGGGAGUACGGCCGCAAGGUUAAAACUCAAA
RNAcentral lists this ribosomal RNA (536 nucleotides) under Cobetia sp. Its description in RNAcentral is "bacterial SSU rRNA". It matches the Rfam family "Bacterial small subunit ribosomal RNA", at positions 377 to 905 of the family's 1533-position model. Lineage: Bacteria; Pseudomonadati; Pseudomonadota; Gammaproteobacteria; Oceanospirillales; Halomonadaceae. The record is from RNAcentral.